Molecule: ribosomal RNA, 645 nt
Filed under: Robertmurraya kyonggiensis
Lineage: Bacteria; Bacillati; Bacillota; Bacilli; Caryophanales; Bacillaceae
Description: bacterial SSU rRNA
Rfam family: Bacterial small subunit ribosomal RNA
Source: RNAcentral
AGCGGCGGACGGGUGAGUAACACGUGGGCAACCUGCCUGUAAGACUGGGAUAACUUCGGGAAACCGGAGCUAAUACCGGAUAAUGCUUCUUCUCACAUGUGAGGAAGCUGAAAGAUGGCUUCGGCUAUCACUUACAGAUGGGCCCGCGGCGCAUUAGCUAGUUGGUGAGGUAACGGCUCACCAAGGCGACGAUGCGUAGCCGACCUGAGAGGGUGAUCGGCCACACUGGGACUGAGACACGGCCCAGACUCCUACGGGAGGCAGCAGUAGGGAAUCUUCCGCAAUGGACGAAAGUCUGACGGAGCAACGCCGCGUGAGUGAUGAAGGUUUUCGGAUCGUAAAACUCUGUUGUUAGGGAAGAACAAGUACCGUUCGAAUAGGGCGGUACCUUGACGGUACCUAACCAGAAAGCCACGGCUAACUACGUGCCAGCAGCCGCGGUAAUACGUAGGUGGCAAGCGUUGUCCGGAAUUAUUGGGCGUAAAGCGCGCGCAGGUGGUCUCUUAAGUCUGAUGUGAAAGCCCCCGGCUCAACCGGGGAGGGUCAUUGGAAACUGGGAGACUUGAGUGCAGGAGAGAAGAGUGGAAUUCCACGUGUAGCGGUGAAAUGCGUAGAGAUGUGGAGGAACACCAGUGGCGAAGGCGA